UACGGAGGGUGCGAGCGUUGUCCGGAAUCAUUGGGCGUAAAGGGCGCGUAGGUGGCCCGGUCAGUCCGUGGUGAAAGCGCGGGGCUCAACCCCGCGUCGGCCAUGGAUACUGCUGGGCUGGAGCACUGUAGAGGCAGGCGGAAUUCCGGGUGUAGCGGUGGAAUGCGUAGAGAUCCGGAGGAAGACCGGUGGCGAAGGCGGCCUGCUGGGCAGUUACUGACACUGAGGCGCGACAGCGUGGGGAGCAAACAGG
RNAcentral lists this ribosomal RNA (253 nucleotides) under uncultured bacterium. RNAcentral's name for it is "partial 16S ribosomal RNA". It matches the Rfam family "Bacterial small subunit ribosomal RNA", at positions 524 to 776 of the family's 1533-position model. The record is from RNAcentral.